UACAUAGGUGGCAAGCGUUAUCCGGAAUUAUUGGGCGUAAAGCGUGCGUAGACGGUUUAGCAAGUUUGAGGUUAAAGACUGGGGCUUAACUCCAGUUCGCCUUGAAAACUGCUAAUCUAGAGUUUGGGAGAGGUUGAUGGAAUUCCAUGUGUAGCGGUGAAAUGCGUAGAUAUAUGGAGGAACACCAGUGGCGAAAGCGGUCAACUGGCCCAUCACUGACGUUUAGGCACGAAAGCGUGGGGAGCAAAUAGG
Molecule: ribosomal RNA, 252 nt
Filed under: uncultured bacterium
Lineage: Bacteria
Description: partial 16S ribosomal RNA
Rfam family: Bacterial small subunit ribosomal RNA
Source: RNAcentral